GGUCAAGUUAUUAAGGGUGCAGGGCGGAUGCCUUGGCACUAGGAGCCGAUGAAGGACGUGAUAAGCUGCGAUAAGCUUCGGGGAGUUGCACGUAAACUUUGAUCCGAAGAUUUCCGAAUGAGGAAACUCACUUAGAGUAAUGUCUAAGUAUCAUUAAGUGAAUACAUAGCUUAAUGAGGGGAACUCAGGGAACUGAAACAUCUAAGUACCUGAAGGAAGAGAAAGAAAUUCGAUUCCGUAAGUAGCGGCGAGCGAACGCGGAUUAGCCCAAACCAAUAAAGUUUUCUUUAUUGGGGUUGCGGACAUAUCAUAACGAAGAGGUAUCGUAAUUGAAGAGGUUUGGAAAGACCCACCACAGAAGGUAAUAGUCCUGUAUGUUAAACGAGAAGACUUCAGAUAUGAUCCAGAGUACCACGGGACACGUGAAACCCUGUGGGAAGCAGGAGGGACCACCCUCCAAGGCUAAAUACUACCUAGUGACCGAUAGCGU
This 490-nucleotide ribosomal RNA is filed under the name Clostridioides difficile. RNAcentral describes it as "partial 23S ribosomal RNA". It matches the Rfam family "Bacterial large subunit ribosomal RNA", at positions 1 to 493 of the family's 2925-position model. Lineage: Bacteria; Bacillati; Bacillota; Clostridia; Peptostreptococcales; Peptostreptococcaceae. The record is from RNAcentral.